Molecule: long non-coding RNA, 872 nt
Filed under: Cricetulus griseus (Chinese hamster)
Lineage: Eukaryota; Metazoa; Chordata; Mammalia; Rodentia; Cricetidae
Description: lncRNA (ENSCGRG00015034562.1)
Source: RNAcentral
UUUAACAGUGCUUGCUGAAGCACCUGGCACGGCUACUGUAAAUCCUGUACUGACUUUUCAAAUACGCCCUGUGUGCCAGAAAGAAGGUCCAGGGAGAAUUAUGUGGUCUGCACAGGUCACCUGGAGCAGAGCACCUGCUUGACUGAGUCAGUGCUCAGCAGCACCCGGGCCCUCGCCACCACCACCACCACAAAGGGUGUGUUUUGUCAGUUCAUCGCAGUGUGGGAACACUGCCAAGAAUCCUUUUCUCCCCUUUUGCUGCUUGCACCUGACUAGAGAGGAAGCUGAUGGACCUGGGGCUGUGUCACAAUAAGAGUCUAUCCUGCAAGAAUGAAAUUUCAAAUAAAAGUCCACCAGGAGUCCCAGUAACCAUCUCAGGUAAUUUUUUCAGCAAUACAACAAGAAUUAAUAAAGAAAAUGGGACCAGAGGGAAGAGUCAUUGCUGUGGCAAGCCUGGCUGUGUGGUCCUUAGAAACUGGUUUUCAAGAUGAAUACAGAAGAGUUUGGAGGUAUGGGCUAGAGAAUGCUGUAAGUUAGCUUAAUGAGUUUGGAAGACCGGAACACCAGCAGAAAUAUAGACAAUGAAGACUCCCCACAAGUUUUCACAUGUAAACAAAAACUCUACUGAGAAUUGGAUUAGACACCAACUGUGUUACACCAUGGUAAAUGUGGCAAGGAAUUUGUCUGUGUUUUGUCCAAGUGCUGAACAUUUGAGUGAGGCUGAAUUCAAGAGUAAUGGACUAAGCCAGGAGGUAGUUGUGCAUGCAUUUAUCCCAGCACUAUGGAGGCUGAAGCAGGUGGAUCUCUGUGAGUUCAAGGCCAUCCUGGUCUACAGAGUGAGUUCCGGGAUAGCCAGAGCUACACAGUGAAAG